This 475-nucleotide ribosomal RNA is filed under the name uncultured bacterium. RNAcentral's name for it is "bacterial SSU rRNA". It matches the Rfam family "Bacterial small subunit ribosomal RNA", at positions 328 to 793 of the family's 1533-position model. The record is from RNAcentral.
UCAGUCGAUCCCUACGGGGAGGCAGCAGUGGGGAAUAUUGCACAAUGGGGGAAACCCUGAUGCAGCCAUGCCGCGUGUGUGAAGAAGGCCUUCGGGUUGUAAAGCACUUUCAGUAGGGAGGAAGGUAGUGUAGUUAACACCUGCAUUAUUUGACGUUACCUACAGAAGAAGCACCGGCUAACUCCGUGCCAGCAGCCGCGGUAAUACGGAGGGUGCGAGCGUUAAUCGGAAUUACUGGGCGUAAAGCGCAUGCAGGCGGCCUGUUAAGUCAGAUGUGAAAGCCCGGGGCUUAACCUCGGAAUUGCAUUUGAAACUGGCAGGCUAGAGUCUUGUAGAGGGGGGUAGGAAUUUCAGGUGUAGCGGUGAAAUGCGUAGAGAUCUGAAGGAAUACCAGUGGCGAAGGCGGCCCCCUGGACAAAGACUGACGCUCAGAUGCGAAAGCGUGGGGAGCAAACAGGAUUAGAUACCCUGGUAG